UGGCCUCUUUUGUCCCCUGCUCUGCCACA
Molecule: non-coding RNA, 29 nt
Filed under: Mus musculus (house mouse)
Lineage: Eukaryota; Metazoa; Chordata; Mammalia; Rodentia; Muridae
Source: RNAcentral